RNAcentral lists this unclassified non-coding RNA (27 nucleotides) under Dictyostelium discoideum. Lineage: Eukaryota; Evosea; Eumycetozoa; Dictyosteliales; Dictyosteliaceae. The record is from RNAcentral.
CUGAAAAUCUUAAUUGGUAAGAGUACU